Molecule: small nuclear RNA, 157 nt
Organism: Toxotes jaculatrix (banded archerfish)
Lineage: Eukaryota; Metazoa; Chordata; Actinopteri; Toxotidae
Product: U1 spliceosomal RNA
Exons: 1
Source: RefSeq, a predicted model, not a curated record
AUACUUACCUGGCAGGGGAGAUACCAUGAUCGAGAAGGUGGUUCACCCCGGGCGAGGCUCAGCCAGUGUGCUGAGGCUGUGCUGACCCCUGCAAAUUCCCCAAAUGUGGGAAUCUUGACUUUCUGGUAGUGGGGGACUGCGUCCGCGCGCUCCCCUG